This is an RNA transcript of Rhododendron vialii, 2732 nucleotides long. RefSeq lists it as uncharacterized. The transcript has 12 exons. NCBI's taxonomy places the organism in Eukaryota, Viridiplantae, Streptophyta, Magnoliopsida, Ericales, Ericaceae. The record is from RefSeq and is a predicted model, not a curated record.
CACUCUUUUACACUCUUCCAUCGAACCAGCCUGCUGGCAGCUCCGGCAACCGUCGGCGGCAUAAGUCUCUCUCUCUCUCUCUCUCUCUCAGUUCGUGUCCCUGCCAUUUCAUGUUCUCUAUCGAAAAGUUGUAUUUUUGAAAAAUGUCUGCUAAAAUAAGCUCAAGGCAGAGCAAACUCCAUAAGAAAGUGAAACUUACGACUGGGAGAUCAAAGAGCCGUGAGGCUGACGGUGAAACCCUAGGUUUCAAAAAGAAGGUCUUUCGAGUAAAUAAAAACGCUCGAGUUAGUUUAGAUGAUGCUGUUGAUGUUAGUUUCCAUGAUACCAAGAAGGGUGAAAGGAGGAAUGUAAGGCAAACAACAGAAAGUAAACCUUUCAGUGGAACCCUAGACUCCAAGAAGGGUUUUCGAGGAAAUCGAAAUGGUAAAUAUGAUGCUGGUGAAGUUCCUUCCUUUGGAAAUAAUAAGGUGUACGCGAGUGAGAAUGGUGAUAGGAGGAAUGUAAGGCGUAGACCUUUCAGUGGAACCCUAGAUUCCAAGAAAGGUUUUCAAGGAAAUAGGAAUGAUCGGCUUGGUAAAGAAGAAGCUGGUGAAGUUUCUUUCUAUGUUAAGAAGGUGUAUAAGAAGGAGAAUGGUGAUCAGAGGAAUGUGAAGUCAAAGAAUGUGGAUAAACCUGUCUAUGAGGAAAAUUUUGAUGGUGAAAGGGGGUUUGAAGAGAGAAAUUAUGAUCGGAAAAGGAAGAGAGUCUAUGCCGAUGAUGGUGGUAACGGAGAUGAUGGAAUGUUCUGGAAGAAUGUGGAGAGACCUAGCAGAGGAGGUUUUUCUAAGGGGAGGAAGGAGGUGGAGAGACCUAGCAGAGGAGGUUUUUCCCGGGGUAGGAAUGAGGUGGAGAGACCUAGUAGGGGAGGUUUUUCUAAGGGGAGGAAUGAGGUGGAGAAUGAUGUUGGUAAAGACAAACGUACCAUGGGGAAAUCUCAUGAUUUUGGGCAACUUGAGAAGGAAAAUGUUUUCAAAGGAGAAAGAAAGGCUCGAGAAACCGAGUCACUCGAUAAUCAUAGCCACAAGAAAUUGAGAACUGAACUGAAGGGUAUUGAUGAUAGGGGAUAUCUUAAAAUAGAUCGAGGUGGGGAUAGUUUGAUGAAGAAUGAUGCCAAGAGUAAACAUGACUUGAGGAAGCAAUCAGAGCAGAAAAGUAACAGACGCAUGGAUGAUAAUUCUCUUGAGAAUUCUGGGAAGAAAAAAGUUCAUGACAAGAAAUGUGGGAGUGAUGAUUUGGCUCAAAAUGAAGAGCGGCCAACAAAAAGCAAGCGAGUAAUCCGGAUAGAUCCAAGUGAUAUCACUAAUAAGCGGCUAGAUGAUGGCAUCGUCACUAUUGGACCUACCAAAGAGAAGAAAGAAGAUGCUGAGAAAAAUGAAAGCGUUGAAAUGUCAAAGAAUGCACAGUUUCGUGCGAUAAAACCUAGCCCCUCUGUCCUUUCCUUUGUGGAGGAUAAUUUCUUGGGCCGUAGGCGUUUGAUUGAGCUACGUAGAGCAGGCUACAACACUGAGCUUUCUGCGCCUUUGGAUAACAUCCCCUCUUCUACAAGCAUAGAAAGAGAGCGAAUUGAGGAACCGGUAUUUCGGAAUAAAUUGACAUUUUUUGCCGCUGCAGACAUUUCUUCGUCAUUCCCACCUCCUGAUCUUCCCGAGAUUGCAUUUGCAGGAAGGUCUAACGUUGGAAAGUCAUCCUUAUUAAAUGCUCUGACCAGACAAUGGGGUGUUGUACGGACAUCGGAUAAGCCUGGGCUUACUCAGACUAUUAAUUUUUUCAAGCUUGGACCAAAGCUCAACUUGGUUGAUUUGCCUGGAUAUGGCUUUGCUUACGCAAAAGAAGAAGUUAAGGAAGCUUGGGAGGAGCUUGUGAAGGAGUAUGUUUCAACACGUGUUGGUCUAAAGCGAGUAUGCCUUCUUAUUGAUACAAAAUGGGGUAUGAAGCCAAGGGACCAUGAGCUGAUUGACUUGAUGGAAAGGUCUCAAACUAAAUACCAGAUUGUACUAACCAAGACCGAUUUGGUUUUCCCAAUUGAUGUGGCACGCCGUGCAAUGCAAAUUGAAGAGAGCCUCAAGGCCAAUAAGUCUGCAGUUAUCCCUGUGAUGAUGGCAAGCUCAAAGACUGGAGCUGGCAUCCGAAGUUUAAGAACAGUGCUAGCUAAGAUCGCUCGCUUUGCAAAAGUCUGAAAGGUUUCACUGGUCCUUCUGAGGCUAUUUCCCAACUCUAACUGCUGCUUUUGAUUCUUUUCAGUAUCUACAUGUCCACAUUUUGUGUUUCAGUACCGUUCAGCAUUUUACACAAUGCCUUUGAAAAUUUAGGCAGGUGACAUGUUUUCAGACAGCCACAGCCUAUAGAGCCCUCAGUAUCUCUGAUACGAUUUUUGACUGAUUCUGCAUGGGGUGAUUAGCUUGCCGAGCAGAAUUCAAAGGCUACAAAUUUCAUCUUCUGCAAUAUUCAAGCUUCGAAAUUUCAGCCGUACAUCUUCGUUCUCGAAAUUGCCAGAGACUGAAAUUGAGAGCAUCAUGUAUUGAAAAAUCUGUUUACAUAGUACAGGAAAGUUCCGUCUUGGAGGCAACCAAGUUUUUCCGUACAUCGACAGUAACACAUUCUAGAAUGCAUGGAGUGUUUUGUAUCCCUUGCAUGUGCUAGUCUUUCUGUACUAUUUUUUUCUUCAAGAAUAUUUAGGAUUCCCAAACAAAGAA